AUUUCAUGGUGAGGACAAUUUUUAAUCGUCAUAUUAAAUCGCUCGAAAGCUUCAUGAAACAUCUCGCCUUGUUGUUGUUGAAAACUCCUCAACCCCUUUCUUGAAUC
RNAcentral lists this small nucleolar RNA (107 nucleotides) under Helianthus annuus (common sunflower). RNAcentral describes it as "sRNA HanXRQr2_Chr05g0232141". It matches the Rfam family "Plant small nucleolar RNA R71". From Rfam's summary of the family: R71 is a member of the C/D box family of snoRNAs containing the C (UGAUGA) and D (CUGA) box motifs. Multiple nearly identical copies of this snoRNA have been identified in Arabidopsis, and it is thought to function as a 2'-O-ribose methylation guide for 18S ribosomal RNA. The record is from Rfam by way of RNAcentral. Lineage: Eukaryota; Viridiplantae; Streptophyta; Magnoliopsida; Asterales; Asteraceae.